AUUUCCUCUGAUGCACAUAAGAAAUACGACAGUAAAAGACACAAGUCGUGCUGAGAUACUGAUUAUGUCGGCGUAUUUUGCCAACGACACAUUCAAUACAGCUUUCAAGUGAUAUAGCCUCCAUGGUAGACCGCAAUCAACCAGUAUGAGAUGUUGAUUCUCCCGAACAGGUUAGCAGACACGAAACAUUAAGAAUGAAGAGAAGACACAUACAACAAGACUCUGAUGGCAAAUCAGUUUCAACCUGGAAGACAACUCUGGGUUGUGUGUGGGGUUCGAAGCUGCAGAAUUCAACAACUAGGCAGGGAACAAAACAAAUGUUCCAGCAUCUCGCAAUCCUCCUUCAAUUUGUCGACGGCACUGAAGGCAAUCCACGUUAAUGAGCCUCUUAUUCACCUCGCUCCUUGUUAGGAUAAGUGAAAAGGUAGGUCAGAACAGAGUAGAGAUCUGCGGGGAGCAACAUGAGGGGAGGGGAGGGGACGAACGAGUGAGCACCUCGAGAGGCGGAGGGGGUAUGCGGAAGGUGAGGGCGAGGCUGAUAUGUCGCAGCGCAGGAUGAAGCGGGACUCGCCGCGCCGUGCUUGCCCUGCUGAUGCCGGUGGUCGCCACGGCCAUGGGCGGACGGGCGGCCGGCCGGCCGGAGUGGGGUGGUGAUGAGUUCGGGAGAAUCGCUGUGCCGCCGGCGCGAGGGAGCCCGGCUGGCUGUACAAGGGUUGGCGCGGCGCGGUGGCGGUGGUGAUCCGGCCGGCGUGGCUGCCUCGUCGUCUCCACACUCUGCAGAGAGACAGAUGCAAACCGAAACAGGCAAG
Molecule: long non-coding RNA, 809 nt
Filed under: Triticum aestivum (bread wheat)
Lineage: Eukaryota; Viridiplantae; Streptophyta; Magnoliopsida; Poales; Poaceae
Description: long non-coding RNA (TAES_LNC027135)
Source: RNAcentral